ACGAACGCUGGCGGCGUGCCUAAUACAUGCAAGUCGAGCGGAAUGAUGAAGAAGCUUGCUUCUUCUGAUUUUAGCGGCGGACGGGUGAGUAACACGUGGGCAACCUACCUUGUAGAUUGGGAUAACUCCGGGAAACCGGGGCUAAUACCGAAUAAUCCAUUUCGCUUCAUGGCGAGAUGUUGAAAGACGGUUUCGGCUGUCACUACAAGAUGGGCCCGCGGCGCAUUAGCUAGUUGGUAGGGUAAUGGCCUACCAAGGCGACGAUGCGUAGCCGACCUGAGAGGGUGAUCGGCCACACUGGGACUGAGACACGGCCCAGACUCCUACGGGAGGCAGCAGUAGGGAAUCUUCCACAAUGGACGAAAGUCUGAUGGAGCAACGCCGCGUGAGUGAAGAAGGUUUUCGGAUCGUAAAACUCUGUUGUAAGGGAAGAACACGUACGAGAGUAACUGCUCGUACCUUGACAGUACCUUAUUAGAAAGCCACGGCUAACUACGUG
RNAcentral lists this ribosomal RNA (499 nucleotides) under uncultured bacterium. RNAcentral describes it as "bacterial SSU rRNA". It matches the Rfam family "Bacterial small subunit ribosomal RNA", at positions 29 to 507 of the family's 1533-position model. The record is from RNAcentral.